Molecule: long non-coding RNA, 737 nt
Filed under: Medicago truncatula (barrel medic)
Lineage: Eukaryota; Viridiplantae; Streptophyta; Magnoliopsida; Fabales; Fabaceae
Description: lncRNA gene35644
Source: RNAcentral
AUGGUUCCAUUUUUAUUUGUGAUUCUUUCACAUCUUGUAGGUAUUUCUUUUUAUGUUUCAAUGGAAUUGUUGGCAAUUGACAUUGACUUCAUUCUCCCAAGGAGAUAGAAAAGGCAUGGCUUUGUUCUAGCAAGGAGAUAAAUUUUUUUGAAGACUAUUGCUUCAGCAAUGGCUAUAUUAACGACAUUAUUUCGCAUCCCUACAAGUUCGACGGAGUAGACAUAGCUUUGCACUAUGUGUCUUUUCUAAGGCUGUGAUAUUUUAUGAUUCUCAUUUGUGGCAAUUAGUGGUAAAAUAAAUAGAGACACACUCUGCCUCCUUAUGAAGGUUCACGGGGCUUUUUUUGUUCAGAUUUAUAAGGCCAGAGAAUAUUCCUCUUGAAUAUGGAGGAUUGAUUCAACCCACAGAUUUUAAGAAUGGUCCCCCUCAACCAUCUUUUAAGUUAUAACUGUUGAAGGAGGAUAAAAAGCUAACAUACAAAUAGAAGGAAUUGAGGUUACAAGUACAGGUUGGUGGAAGUUAUACCUUUUCAGCUUAGGUGUUAUUCUGAAGCAUAUGUCAAGAGCUUGAGAUAAUGAUAAUGACAAUGAAGGAGGGGACACAAUAACACAAAUUUGGAGUUUGGAAAGUUUUAGAUUUAUUAUCGUAUUAAUAUUAUUAUUAGGUAAUGGUUAGUUGCAAACUGCGUGUAUUUUUUUUCGAGAACUUUUCUCAUGACUGUUAACUAACAUUAAUAU